Molecule: non-coding RNA, 215 nt
Organism: Pelobates cultripes (western spadefoot toad)
Lineage: Eukaryota; Metazoa; Chordata; Amphibia; Anura; Pelobatidae
Source: the annotation of a GenBank genome assembly
AUUCCAGCACUUGGUGGACAGACUCCUUGAUGGCUUCCAGGAAUUUGCCUGCGCAUACUUGGACGACAUAGCGAUCCAUAGUGAGUCCUGGGAGGAACACUUAGCUCAUGUAGGAAUAGUCCUGGAUCAGAUUCGGGCCGCGGGCCUGACCCUGAAGCCAGAGAAAUGCCACUUUGGGAUGGCUGAGGUACAGUACCUGGGCCACCGGGUAGGAU